RNA transcript from Quercus robur (English oak), 1104 nucleotides. RefSeq lists it as uncharacterized. The record is from RefSeq and is a predicted model, not a curated record. The transcript has 5 exons. Lineage: Eukaryota; Viridiplantae; Streptophyta; Magnoliopsida; Fagales; Fagaceae.
AAAAAAACCCUGCCAAUAUUGCGAUACAGAGAAAGAGAAAGGGAAAAAGGGGAAAAACCUACUCUCUGCACAUCAGUCUUCUUAACUUUUUUUCUCUCUAAAAAAAACCCUAGCCAUACUACGAUAGAGGUGAUCUUUUCACAUCAAACUCCACUACGAGAAAAGAAAAAAAAAGAAAGACUUGCACCAUAGUGGAGAUUCGAUUGAUCAUCGCUAUCCCCUUUUGAGUUUUCCAGACUCUGCGAACCAGUGGAUAUUCGUAUGGCUGGCCACUGCCAUACCCUGCCGGACUUAGAGCAUCACAAUCGGCAUCCGUCAAGGCUAAAUACGAUCAAACGCCCCAUAGGUUUUGAGAUACGGAGUUAGAGAUUGGCGCUAUUCUGACGAAAGAUCUAUCAUCUCUGCUCUGGCUUAUAAGACAGUUGGUAGCUAUUCAAGAAGAGCUACUUGAUUAAAUAUAAAGAUGUUGAAAUUAGAUGAGAAUACUUUACCAAAAGAGAUUCAAAAAAUAAUUGGCAAUGAAUAUUUGUUCCAACUGCAUCUUGAUGAAUAUAAUUUGAAGUAUGGAAAAGAAAAUUACACGGUCUCAAAAAUUUUGGAGAUGGAAGUUUUACAUAAGCAAAAAGACUCAAGUAAAGUUGAAGAACAUCAGGAAACAAUGGAGGAAAUUGUAAGAAAAUCAAGGAAGGACAAGUACAUAGCCAAUCAAAAAAUAGAAAUAGGAGAAACAUCUGUUCAAAGACCUGAAAGAAUGCCGCUCCAAAUGCUUCAAAAACGUCAAAAAAGUACUAAGCAAAUUGCUACAAAGAAGAAAAAAAACUGAACUCUAUUGUAUAUACUACCUUACUCUAGGAAUCUUUAUGUAUUUCAUAGUAUUGUUAAUUAUUAUUUUUUUGCCUUUAGAAGAGUAAACUGAAUGUACUGACUAAAGCUGACAAAUUAGAACAACGUUACUAUAAAAUGUAAUUAUAUUUCACAAUUUGGUAUGUUAGACACUGUGAUGGCCCAAAAUGGUUGAUUUCAAAGUGUAUAAGCUGAAUGAAGAAUGUAGACAACAAGAUUUGCUUUAUUAAAAUAAAUAGAUUUUCCCCUAUUGUUCUGUUA